This is a long non-coding RNA of Artibeus jamaicensis (Jamaican fruit-eating bat), 1173 nucleotides long. RefSeq lists it as uncharacterized. The transcript has 3 exons. Lineage: Eukaryota; Metazoa; Chordata; Mammalia; Chiroptera; Phyllostomidae. The record is from RefSeq and is a predicted model, not a curated record.
UAUAAAUCCAAACCAAGAGAAGUCUGCUGCCAUCAAGUUGGCCUUAUCUUGGAGCUGCCCUGCAAAAGCAUUAAAGGUGAGAUCAUAUGGUAAUUGUCCCUCACCACCUGGCUUAUUUCGCUUAGCAUAAUGCUUUCCAGUUCCAUCAAUGCCACCACAAAGGCUCGCUGAUUGAGAUCACAACCUCCACCAUGUCUUGUAUGCUGUUGUACAGGAGCUGCCAGAAGAAAACAAGACGACCCUGCAAACAAAAUUCACACCAGCAAAAAUACCCUCCAACUUCAUGAAAUCAACAACAAAUGAGCUAAGACUUACAAAGUUAAAAGAGAAUGAGAAUAUUAUACAGAAGAAAAAAACCAAUAUGAGUUAAUGGGAAUAAACAUGAUUUUGAGAGGGUAGGGGGAUGAGAAAUUAUAAGAGUAAGGAAUAGAAACAAGGCAAAAAAAAAAGAGAGAAAAUAGGUUAGCUCAGUUGGUUAGAGCGUGGUGCUAAAAAAAGAGAAAAUAAAAUUUCCCACAUAACUAAAAUAGAGAUGGAAUAUGGCAAACUGGAGUAAGACAAGGCAAUAGUAUGAUAUGAGAUUUGGAGUGAAAAAAUAGGAAUCACAUUGCAAUAAAACCACCACCUCAGUGAUAUCCACAACAAAGGAACAAAGAUUGGUAAAUAUGAAAGGGAGAUAAUGUUAUAAGAAAAAGAAAGGAAAGAAGAGAAAAUAAAAUAUUGUGAGAUAUCUAAAGUAAACUAAUUUUGAUAGGAUAGAGGGAGAAGAAAUCAUAAGUGUAAAGGUUAGAAACAAGACUAAGAAAUGGAGAAGGUGAAAAUUAAAAUGAAAAUAAGGGCAAGAAGAAGGCAAAUGAAGUAGGACAGGGGAACAGUAAUAUAUGAGAUUUAAAAAUAAAAAAAUAAAUGAAUAAAAUAGUGACUAUCUAGGGAUAAACUAAAGAAAUGAAACAAGAACCCCAUAUCAAUGAUAACUGAGCAAAUGUUAAUAAAGGUGGAACAACAAUGAGAAUAUUAUAAGAAAGGGAAGAAAAAUGUAAGAUGUCUAAUGGAAAGAAAGAUGGUUUUGAGAGGAUGGAGGGAGAAGUAAUAGUAAAAAUGGGGAAUAGAAACAAAGUGUAGAAAGGGAAAAAAUAAAUUUUAAACCAAAAAUAAAAAAGAGAGGGAUGAAGG